Arabidopsis thaliana (thale cress) is the source of this 216-nucleotide RNA transcript. RefSeq lists it as uncharacterized. NCBI's taxonomy places the organism in Eukaryota, Viridiplantae, Streptophyta, Magnoliopsida, Brassicales, Brassicaceae. The transcript has a single exon. The record is from RefSeq.
UAGGUAUAAUUGGAGUUCGAUGCAUGUACUACACAGUAGACAUUAUAAGACAUUUUGAAACCGUAGACGUAGACAUGAAUCCUCAAUAGUCUUUAUCGUCGCGACAUACUUCAGAAAAGUCGUAAAAGAUUGUUUUUUCCGACCAAGAUCAAAUCACCGGAAGUAUACAUGUAUUCAAACUAAAUCUCGAAUAAUUGUAAGUGGGAGGAGGUAAAG